AGAGUUUGAUCCUGGCUCAGGACGAACGCUGGCGGCGUGCUUAACACAUGCAAGUCGAGCGGAAAGGCCCUUCGGGGUACUCGAGCGGCGAACGGGUGAGUAACACGUGAGCAAUCUGCCUUAACUUCGGGAUAGCUCCGGGAAACCGGGAUUAAUACCGGAUAUGACUGCUACCGACAUCGGCGGCGGUGGAAAGAUUU
This 200-nucleotide ribosomal RNA is filed under the name uncultured bacterium. RNAcentral's name for it is "partial 16S ribosomal RNA". It matches the Rfam family "Bacterial small subunit ribosomal RNA", at positions 8 to 211 of the family's 1533-position model. The record is from RNAcentral.